This 2144-nucleotide long non-coding RNA is filed under the name Homo sapiens (human). RNAcentral describes it as "HSALNT0382072". Lineage: Eukaryota; Metazoa; Chordata; Mammalia; Primates; Hominidae. The record is from RNAcentral.
CAUGAUGGGCCUGUUCCUUCACCACUUGCCGUCACCCUGUGGGGUGGGUGUUGAGUUUCUUCUUCAUCACCUUGGUCAGUGCUGCAUGUUACUGUGUAGCCCUUGGUUGCUUCUCUCCCCUACCAGUGCCCAGAGGGCAUGAGCUCUCUUUUGUACUCUGUUAUAUCUCCAGUUCCUGGGGGUAGGCACCUGAUAAAAAUUUAGGGAAUGCAUACAUAGCCUAGAGGCCAAUUUCCCCUUUAGAUGUUGACUGUCCCUUUUCUCCAAGUAGGGAGAGUGGUGACGGGGCGUGGAGAGGCAGAGGGGAGAGAAGGAGCAGUGUUACCAGCGAGUCUGUCUGGCAAUGAUAUCUGCCUCAACCCCUUUUUGUCCCAGCGGUGUAGACGCAGGUCAGAUGACUUUCCAACUCUAUGCGGCUCUUGCCUGUCCCUCCAUCCCUGCUGCGGUGAACCUCUCAUCUGAGCCUCCCCAACAGUUUGUGCAAAGACUCCACUUAACGUUGGUCUGUUGACUGUCACGGGCAUCUGUGAGCCUCCUGUGCCUUCUUGUUUAACAACGAUCUCAGCUUGUGGCGAGGGAGUGGUGAUGGCACAGGGUAGAGCUGCCAGAGGGGUCAGCUUGGCCUGGGUUCGGGCUCAGGAGUGCCAGCUUCCUCGAGGAGUGGGAGGUCGGUCAUGCAAGGGAGAGCGUUGAGCCCAGGCCCCAGGAUAACUGAGACUGUUUGGAGGUGGUGUCCCCAACCCUCGCUUACGUGGGCGGGUCUCAGCGGGGCGAGGCUUAGCUUGCCUGCUGAGCCCUGCAAAUGCAGGUGAGGCGGCUCAAGCGUUUCCACCUGGACUGGCGUGGCGCUCAGGCCUCUGCGUCUCUCUCUUCCCGUGUAUGCAGAGUCAGCUGCCCUGCCCUCGCCUGUGAUUCUAAAAUCAACACAACCAAAUCCACACUCGUCGCUGGCUUUCCCUGCCCUGCUGUGGAGCACAUGAACCCGGGGACGCAUUCGGCUUUCCUUUGAUAGGGGAAGGCAGCCCAAACAGCACCCAGACCAAGAGCCUGGAUCAGGGAUCCUGCUGCCUGAGACUUUCUAACUAGGCCAAGAAAUGAGGACACUGAACUACUUCUUCUUGAGAUGACGGAAUCUUGCAAGUUUAUUUAUUGUUUCCUGGGGGAGGAGACACAGUCUGUUGGAACUGGAAGUGAUGAGAGAUUGCCAUCCAAUUCCAUAGGAGGCCAAUGAGAGGUUACAUGAAGGGAGGACUCUACUGGUAGACAGUCCUAGAAACCCCAGGCUAAAGUGAAACUCAGUAAUUUUGUUUUUAAACUGCAGGUCCUCUCAGCGCAUUCAAUAUUUUGCUUGUUAUCAAUAAGGGGAUGUAGCAGCCACAUUUCCCAAUUUUUUUGGCCAUUUUUUUCCUCUGACAGCAUUUUUAGGACCCGUGUCCCCCUGAACACAUGGAGGGAUGGAGCAAUUGAAUGUCAUGCCCUGAUUUCACAGAUGGGGGCAGGGAGGCUCAGCAAGGAAAGUCAGGUGGAGCAGAGACCCAUUCCCUGCCCCUGCCUUGGGGCUCUUUUCGAAACUCUGCCCUGCUCACAUCUGCCCCAAGACACUCUGCCUCCAUGAAAGUGCAGGUUAUUUUACAGUUUGGAGGUGACACUGGACCCCUUGGAAAUCAGAGAAUGUGCACUUUCUUGGCAAAAUAUCCAAGGUAAGGGAGAGUAUAAAUGUGAAUGAGAAUGCUGAGUGUCGGAAGACAUUUGUUUUUUGUUUACAUCUAGGACCAGACCAGAGGGAGUGAGGUCUAUCUAUCCCACGAAGAAACUGAGAUGCAGCUUAUGAAAUAGAGGCUGACAAUGGCUCACCCACCUCCUUUGUAAGAGCCUGGUGUGUGCUACAGGAGCAUGGCCCAUAUACGUGUCAGGUUGAAGGACAACUCAGGAGCUGUCCAAGGCUCAACUUGGCCCCACUUGCCCCAUCUGGCAGCCUGGACCGAGCAUUGUUCAUUGAGUCCCACACCCACAUGGCCCCAGAGUCAAACCGCCUUUCAUGCUGAAGAAUGGAACUGACACUCCCAGCAACAUCUCCCCCAACCAUGCCCAUCUGUUAAUCCAACUUAAAAAGAAGGAAAAAAAAAUGACAAUGGAAAUGGAAA